This 448-nucleotide ribosomal RNA is filed under the name uncultured bacterium. Its description in RNAcentral is "bacterial SSU rRNA". It matches the Rfam family "Bacterial small subunit ribosomal RNA", at positions 328 to 793 of the family's 1533-position model. The record is from RNAcentral.
CUCUGUGACUCCUACGGGAGGCAGCAGUGGGGAAUAUUGCACAAUGGGCGCAAGCCUGAUGCAGCAACGCCGUGUGAGUGAAGAAGGUUUCGGAUCGUAAACUCUGUCCUAAGGGAAGAAACAAAUGACGGUACCUUAGGAGGAAGCCCCGGCUAACUACGUGCCAGCAGCCGCGGUAAUACGUAGGGGGCAAGCGUUAUCCGGAAUCACUGGGCGUAAAGGGUGCGUAGGCGGCUUAGCAAGCCAGGGGUGAAAGGCAUUGGCUCAACCAAUGUAAGCCUUUGGAACUGUUAAGCUUGAGUGCAGGAGAGGUAAGUGGAAUUCCUAGUGUAGAGGUGAAAUUCGUAGAUAUUAGGAGGAACACCAGUGGCGAAGGCGACUUACUGGACUGUAACUGACGCUGAUGCACGAAAGCGUGGGUAGCGAACAGGAUUAGAUACCCUGGUAG